GGAAUUUUCCGCAAUGGGCGAAAGCCUGACGGAGCAACGCCGCGUGAGGGAUGAAGGCCUCUGGGCUGUAAACCUCUUUUAUCAAGGAAGAAGAUCUGACGGUACUUGAUGAACAAGCCACGGCUAAUUCCGUGCCAGCAGCCGCGGUAAUACGGGAGUGGCAAGCGUUAUCCGGAAUUAUUGGGCGUAAAGCGUCCGCAGGCGGUUUUGUAAGUCUGUUGUUAAAGCGUGGAGCUUAACUCCAUUUCAGCAAUGGAAACUGCAAGACUAGAGUGUGGUAGGGGCAGAGGGAAUUCCCGGUGUAGCGGUGAAAUGCGUAGAUAUCGGGAAGAACACCAGUGGCGAAGGCGCUCUGCUGGGCCAUAACUGACGCUCAUGGACGAAAGCCAGGGGAGCGAAAGGGAUUAGAUACCCCAGUAGUC
This 422-nucleotide ribosomal RNA is filed under the name uncultured cyanobacterium. Its description in RNAcentral is "bacterial SSU rRNA". It matches the Rfam family "Bacterial small subunit ribosomal RNA", at positions 358 to 795 of the family's 1533-position model. Lineage: Bacteria; Bacillati; Cyanobacteriota. The record is from RNAcentral.